CCAGUUUUGAGAACAAUUAACAUUAUUCUGUAAUUUACAACAAUAUGAGGGCUGAUGUUGCAUGUUAUUGUACAUACCCUUCUCCUCAUACAGAACCAGGAAUGUCACUUUCCUAACUCAGGCAGGCACUGUUACUGGUGGGUACUGCACACUCGCUCGCUCACUCACACACACAAAAUCCUAGAGACAAUUUCAAAAAGCAUUAUUUUGCUUUGUUUUUUGGGACAGGGGAGGAGAGAAUCUACAGAUUUUCAUUUAUUUAAAAAUCAAAAACAGCUCGGCACAGGAAAUAGGCAGUUCACAUAGCCAGCCAACAUCUGAGGUAUCAUCAGUGUGAGACAA
This 342-nucleotide long non-coding RNA is filed under the name Bos taurus (domestic cattle). Its description in RNAcentral is "long non-coding RNA NONBTAT011871". Lineage: Eukaryota; Metazoa; Chordata; Mammalia; Artiodactyla; Bovidae. The record is from RNAcentral.